RNAcentral lists this unclassified non-coding RNA (242 nucleotides) under Geastrum kotlabae. RNAcentral describes it as "partial internal transcribed spacer region". The stretch from base 1 to 46 matches the Rfam family "Eukaryotic small subunit ribosomal RNA", at positions 1786 to 1831 of the family's 1831-position model. The record is from RNAcentral. Lineage: Eukaryota; Fungi; Basidiomycota; Agaricomycetes; Geastrales; Geastraceae.
AAGUCGUAACAAGGUUUCCGUAGGUGAACCUGCGGAAGGAUCAUUACAGAAUGCAAUAAGAACGUCUUUGAGACUGCGUCGACUUCGGCGUGUGCUCGGACGGUCAUAUUCUUUCUUAUCCACACACCCUUGUGCACCAAUGGGACGUCAAGUCCCCUUUUUCACACAAAUACCAAGUUAUAUGCAUGUCAUUAAUUACAUAAUAUAUGUAACAACUUUCAACAACGGAUCUCUUGGCUCUC